Molecule: ribosomal RNA, 253 nt
Filed under: uncultured bacterium
Lineage: Bacteria
Description: partial 16S ribosomal RNA
Rfam family: Bacterial small subunit ribosomal RNA
Source: RNAcentral
UACGUAGGGUGCGAGCGUUAAUCGGAAUUACUGGGCGUAAAGCGUGCGCAGGCGGCCGAGCAAGUCGAGUGUGAAAGCCCCGGGCUUAACCUGGGAACUGCGCUCGAAACUACUUGGCUUGAGUGUGGCAGAGGGAGGUGGAAUUCCACGUGUAGCGGUGAAAUGCGUAGAGAUGUGGAGGAACACCGAUGGCGAAGGCAGCCUCCUGGGCCAACACUGACGCUGAGAAGCGAAAGCAUGGGGAGCGAACAGG